Erinaceus europaeus (western European hedgehog) is the source of this 506-nucleotide long non-coding RNA. RefSeq lists it as uncharacterized. NCBI's taxonomy places the organism in Eukaryota, Metazoa, Chordata, Mammalia, Eulipotyphla, Erinaceidae. The transcript is spliced from 2 exons. The record is from RefSeq and is a predicted model, not a curated record.
CUUUGGGUCUUUGUUAGGAAGUGAGCUCCCUGGAAUGGAAUUAGAGAAUCCUAUGAAAAGAAAGGUCUCAUCAGAGUAAUGACUCUGAAGGGUUGACAUUCCACGCCUGAUGUCUGGACACAGUCUGAAGUGAAGCAUGCUGAGGUUCCAGAUGCUAGCAGGAUGCCAACCAGACUUCCCUGGGAAGAUGACCCCACCAAUGUGUCCUGGAGCCCCACUUUCCCAGAGCUCUGCCCCUCUAGGGAAAGAGAGAGGCAGGCUGGGAGUGUGGAUCUACCUGUCAAUGCCCAUGUUCAGUGGGGAAGCAAUUACAGAAGUCAGGCCUUCCACCUUCUGCAUCCCAUAAUGACCCGGGGUUCAUACUCCCAGAAGGAUAAAAAAAUAGGGAAGAUAUCAGGGGAGGGGAUGAGAUACUUAGUUUUGUUGGUGGGAAUUGUGUGGAGUUAUGCCCUUCUUAUCCUUUGGUUUCUGUGUUUCCUUUUUAUAAAUAAAAAUUUAAAAAAUAA